UCUCUGAUAGAAUAUCGGUUAGUACACGCGCCUGUCAUUAUGUUGUGGACGAUGUCUACGCGCGAAAGCUGGGUUCGACUCCCAGUCAGAGAG
Mucidula mucida is the source of this 93-nucleotide non-coding RNA. NCBI's taxonomy places the organism in Eukaryota, Fungi, Basidiomycota, Agaricomycetes, Agaricales, Physalacriaceae. The record is from the annotation of a GenBank genome assembly.